GACGAACGCUGGCGGCGUGCUUAACACAUGCAAGUCGAACGGAAAGGCCCUGCUUUUGUGGGGUGCUCGAGUGGCGAACGGGUGAGUAACACGUGAGUAACCUGCCCUUGACUUUGGGAUAACUUCAGGAAACUGGGGCUAAUACCGGAUAGGAGCUCCUGCUGCAUGGUGGGGGUUGGAAAGUUUCGGCGGUUGGGGAUGGACUCGCGGCUUAUCAGCUUGUUGGUGGGGUAGUGGCUUACCAAGGCUUUGACGGGUAGCCGGCCUGAGAGGGUGACCGGCCACAUUGGGACGGAGAUACGGCCCAGACUCCUACGGGAGGCAGCAGUGGGGAAUAUUGCACAAUGGGCGGAGGCCUGAUGCAGCAACGCCGCGUGCGGGAUGACGGCCUUCGGGUGGGAAACCGCUUUCGCCUGUGACGAAGCGUGAGUGACGGUAAUGGGUAAAGAAGCACCGGCUAACUACGU
RNAcentral lists this ribosomal RNA (467 nucleotides) under uncultured bacterium. Its description in RNAcentral is "partial 16S ribosomal RNA". It matches the Rfam family "Bacterial small subunit ribosomal RNA", at positions 28 to 506 of the family's 1533-position model. The record is from RNAcentral.